GGAAACUUCUGCUAAUCCCGGAUGAGCCGAAAGGAAAAGAUUUAUCGCCGGGAGAUGAGCUCGCGUCUGAUUAGCUAGUUGGUGAGGUNNAGGCUCACCAAGGCGACGAUCAGUAGCUGGUCUGAGAGGANGAUCAGCCACACUGGGACUGAGACACGGCCCAGACUCCUACGGGAGGCAGCAGUGGGGAAUUUUCCGCAAUGGGCGCAAGCCUGACGGAGCAAGACCGCGUGGGGGAGGAAGGCUCNNGGGUUGUAAACCUCUUUUCUCAAGGAAGAACACAAUGACGGUACUUGAGGAAUAAGCCUCGGCUAACUCCGUGCCAGCAGCCGCGGUAAUACGGAGGAGGCAAGCGUUAUCCGGAAUGUGGGCGUAAAGCGUCCGUAGGUGGCUGUUCAAGUCUGCUGUCAAAGACAGUGGCUUAACUACUGAAAGGCAGUGGAAACUGAACAGCUAGAGUACGGUAGGGNCAGAGGGAAUUCCCGGUG
RNAcentral lists this ribosomal RNA (488 nucleotides) under Limnospira platensis HSSASE5. Its description in RNAcentral is "bacterial SSU rRNA". It matches the Rfam family "Bacterial small subunit ribosomal RNA", at positions 152 to 675 of the family's 1533-position model. Lineage: Bacteria; Bacillati; Cyanobacteriota; Cyanophyceae; Oscillatoriales; Sirenicapillariaceae. The record is from RNAcentral.